Long non-coding RNA from Felis catus (domestic cat), 427 nucleotides. RefSeq lists it as uncharacterized. The transcript is spliced from 2 exons. Lineage: Eukaryota; Metazoa; Chordata; Mammalia; Carnivora; Felidae. The record is from RefSeq and is a predicted model, not a curated record.
GGUGUCUGUGCAGGUGGUCGGAGCGCACGAAGGUCUUGCAGCAACUGUCACACUGGUAGGGGCGCAGGCCGGUGUGCACGCGCAUGUGGUUCUUCAGGUCGUAGUUGUGCGCGAAGGCCGCCCCGCACUGCUGACACAGGGAACGGUGCGGAGCCAGCCAAGCUGGCCAACGGAUCAGCCCUAAAGCAACGACAGUCCGGGUGCUGCUCCGUCUCACACAGCAGCCACGGCUCUCACACGCGGCCCGAACCCUCGAGACGUGGCCUGUUCAAGCUGAGAUGGGCCACCAAGUCCAAAAGGCGCCCCAGAUCUUGAAGGCUUCGUUCGCGUAACGUGUCCUGCAAACUGGCUCGCUUAGAGCUCUGUACGCUGAUUACACGUUGAACGCAAGAAAAAUGGACGUCAAACACGACUCGAGUCACUUUCA